RNAcentral lists this ribosomal RNA (274 nucleotides) under uncultured bacterium. Its description in RNAcentral is "partial 16S ribosomal RNA". It matches the Rfam family "Bacterial small subunit ribosomal RNA", at positions 523 to 796 of the family's 1533-position model. The record is from RNAcentral.
AUACGGAGGGUGCAAGCGUUAUCCGGAUUUACUGGGUUUAAAGGGUACGCAGGCGGUAAUUUAAGUCAGUGGUGAAAGCCUACAGCUCAACUGUAGAACUGCCAUUGAAACUGAAUUACUUGAGUAUGGUAGAGGUAGGCGGAAUACAACAUGUAGCAGUGAAAUGCAUAGAUAUGUUGUAGAACACCGAUUGCGAAGGCAGCUUACUAAACCAUUACUGACGCUCAUGUACGAAAGCGUGGGGAGCGAACAGAAUUAGAUACCCUAGUAGUCC